UAUUGGUUGCAUUUGCAGUGACGAUCCUGUUAUGGUGAGAUGUGGUUCAUUAUCUGCCACGGUGCGGGAUUGUAAGAGUGUUGUUUGUGUUUAUAAUGCUUGUGUUGACGCAAAUGUUAGUAUUUUUAAAAAUCUAAUUGAUUAUGUUGUUAUUUUAUUUAUUAUAUCAAUUUAAUGGAUUUUCUUGUGAGUUGUUAGUAUGUUGGGGUUGUAGCAGCAAUGUAUACAAAGUCAUGGAGGAAGAAAUUUGUUGGUAACGUGCGUGUUAUGAUUGACCCGAUUAUUGCUAGUGGUGUUUUGGGAGACGACACGGAGUUGCGGUGGACCUGCUGCAAUGAGUUGAAAGGGGUGCGUGCUGAAAGAAUUUUUGUGGUCUUUAUUCCAGUUCUAGAGGGAAGUCAUUGGUGGUGUCUUGCCGUAUCUGUGAAUACAGAGGAAAUAUGGGUGAUGGAUUCACAAUGCAAGAGACUGCUUGAGGCGCAUUGUGAAGCUAUUGACAAACUGGUAAUGGGAGGGGACAAUUUUUUUUGUUCAUUUGAUGUAAGUUGGAUAAGUGGUGAGCUAUGCAACUAGCCCAGAAAGGCUGUGAAUAUGGCCUCUUCUCAUCAAGGAAGCGGGAUUCAUAUGCUGCUUGCUAUAAAGGGAUGUGCAGCUCGUUUGAAGUUUGAUUGUUGCUUUAGUGGGAACAUAAAGGAGGAGAGUACUUGGCUGCUAACCGAAGAUGUAUUGUCCGAUGAGAACGAGGUGAAGGAGAGUGUUAAGGGAAUGCUUGACAGGGUUUGAAAGAAGGUGAAGGAAAGGUGAAUUUCGCUGCUAACAAUAUUUUGUGUAGUUUUGUAUAGGGCAAAUGGCCAUUAUAUGGCCCAUAGUUUUUUAUAUGGCCCAUAGCCCAUAGUUUUGUAUAGGGCAAAUGGCCAGCCAUAUGGGCAUUGUAUGGCCCAUAGCCCAUAGUUUUGUAUAUGUCCAGCCAUAUGGGCAUUUUAUGGCCCACAGUUUUUAUAAGGGCAUAGAAUGCUAAUUAUUGUUAAAUUGGAAAAGUAACAGAAGGUUGAAAUGAAGAUA
This is a long non-coding RNA of Beta vulgaris subsp. vulgaris (sugar beet), 1062 nucleotides long. RefSeq lists it as uncharacterized. The record is from RefSeq and is a predicted model, not a curated record. The transcript has 6 exons. Lineage: Eukaryota; Viridiplantae; Streptophyta; Magnoliopsida; Caryophyllales; Amaranthaceae.